UUCAUUUCAUUCACUUUGGAUUGGAGUCCGCAAGCAUGGACAAAGCUCCUGGGAAAUUAUCCUCAAUGACCCAACAUUGAAAUUUUCCUAUUUCAGGACUCCAACUUCCUUAGCAAAGAGGCGGAGAUUUGAGAGACAGAAUGGUCAAUCUGACAUUGUUCAGGUCCCUUGUUCAGAUAGCUCGUCCCUACUGUCUAAGAAACUGGCAUCUCAAGAUCCCGAUACUGGCAAGGAUGAAUCAGAACUUACUCUUAAAGACUUGGUUAAUAAAAGAAAGGGCACCAUAAG
Long non-coding RNA from Impatiens glandulifera, 288 nucleotides. RefSeq lists it as uncharacterized. Lineage: Eukaryota; Viridiplantae; Streptophyta; Magnoliopsida; Ericales; Balsaminaceae. The record is from RefSeq and is a predicted model, not a curated record. The transcript has 2 exons.